Molecule: long non-coding RNA, 648 nt
Filed under: Musa acuminata (dwarf banana)
Lineage: Eukaryota; Viridiplantae; Streptophyta; Magnoliopsida; Zingiberales; Musaceae
Description: long non-coding RNA (MACU_LNC001357)
Source: RNAcentral
ACCGUCACACCUUCCUCUGAUAUGAUAUGCCCAAGAUAUUUCACCUUUUGUUGAAGAAAGUAAAAAUUCGUAGUGGCCGUUGUGUGUUCGAAAGGCGAUUUUCGGUAUGACUUCUUCAUACACUCGUAUUUGAUAAUACCCGGAUCGAAGAUCCAGCUUUGUGAAGAUUUGCGCUCUCUUUCAUCUAGCAAUUCAUCUGCUAUUUGAAUAAGGUAUUUGUUCUUGAUGGUUAUGCCAUUGAGAGCUCGGUAAUCAACGCAUAUUCGCCAUGUUCCGUCCUUCUUGUGUACAAGUAGCACUAGUGAAAAGUAGAGGUUGCAACUUGGCCGAAUAACUCCUGUUUCAAGCAUCUCUUUUAAAAUCCUUUCUAUUUCAUCAUUCUAGAGAUGUGGAUACUGAUAUGGCUGAGCAUUUGCUGGAGAUUUGACUGGAAAAAUCAUUAUACAAUGAUCAUACCGACGAGUAAGAGGUAGGUUGUGCGGCUCGUCAAAUAUAUCUGAAAAUUCAGCAAGCAAAGGAAAUAGGUUUGGAUCUUCAAAUUCUAUUGGCUCUCCUUUAAUUUGCUGCUCAAGUUGUACCAAAAAGCCCCUGCAUGCUUUAUGCAAAACCUUCUCCAUUUGUUGUGUGCAAAUCAUCGUUACGCCGCCC